GGGGGUAUAGCUCAAUGGUAGAGCAUUUGACGGCAGAUCAAGAGGUCCCCGGUUCCGGUCCGGGUGCCUCAU
RNAcentral lists this transfer RNA (72 nucleotides) under Astyanax mexicanus (Mexican tetra). It matches the Rfam family "tRNA". Rfam says of the family: Transfer RNA (tRNA) molecules are approximately 80 nucleotides in length. Their secondary structure includes four short double-helical elements and three loops (D, anti-codon, and T loops). The record is from Rfam by way of RNAcentral. Lineage: Eukaryota; Metazoa; Chordata; Actinopteri; Characiformes; Acestrorhamphidae.